This 505-nucleotide ribosomal RNA is filed under the name fungal sp. HMJKDF5. RNAcentral's name for it is "eukaryotic LSU rRNA". The stretch from base 137 to 290 matches the Rfam family "5.8S ribosomal RNA". The record is from RNAcentral. Lineage: Eukaryota; Fungi.
UUACUCCAACCCCUGUGACAUACCACUUGUUGCCUCGGCGGAUCAGCCCGCUCCCGGUAAAACGGGACGGCCCGCCAGAGGACCCCUAAACUCUGUUUCUAUAUGUAACUUCUGAGUAAAACCAUAAAUAAAUCAAAACUUUCAACAACGGAUCUCUUGGUUCUGGCAUCGAUGAAGAACGCAGCAAAAUGCGAUAAGUAAUGUGAAUUGCAGAAUUCAGUGAAUCAUCGAAUCUUUGAACGCACAUUGCGCCCGCCAGUAUUCUGGCGGGCAUGCCUGUUCGAGCGUCAUUUCAACCCUCAAGCACAGCUUGGUGUUGGGACUCGCGUUAAUUCGCGUUCCCCAAAUUGAUUGGCGGUCACGUCGAGCUUCCAUAGCGUAGUAGUAAAACCCUCGUUACUGGUAAUCGUCGCGGCCACGCCGUUAAACCCCAACUUCUGAAUGUUGACCUCGGAUCAGGUAGGAAUACCCGCUGAACUUAAGCAUAUCAAAAGCCGGGAGGAAA